RNAcentral lists this ribosomal RNA (1372 nucleotides) under uncultured bacterium. RNAcentral describes it as "bacterial SSU rRNA". It matches the Rfam family "Bacterial small subunit ribosomal RNA", at positions 28 to 1381 of the family's 1533-position model. The record is from RNAcentral.
GAUGAACGCUGGCGGCGUGCCUAAUACAUGCAAGUCGAGCGAACAGAUAAGGAGCUUGCUCCUUUGACGUUAGCGGCGGACGGGUGAGUAACACGUGGGUAACCUACCUAUAAGACUGGGAUAACUUCGGGAAACCGGAGCUAAUACCGGAUAAUAUUUCGAACCGCAUGGUUCGAUAGUGAAAGAUGGUUUUGCUAUCACUUAUAGAUGGACCCGCGCCGUAUUAGCUAGUUGGUAAGGUAACGGCUUACCAAGGCGACGAUACGUAGCCGACCUGAGAGGGUGAUCGGCCACACUGGAACUGAGACACGGUCCAGACUCCUACGGGAGGCAGCAGUAGGGAAUCUUCCGCAAUGGGCGAAAGCCUGACGGAGCAACGCCGCGUGAGUGAUGAAGGUCUUCGGAUCGUAAAACUCUGUUAUUAGGGAAGAACAUACGUGUAAGUAACUGUGCACGUCUUGACGGUACCUAAUCAGAAAGCCACGGCUAACUACGUGCCAGCAGCCGCGGUAAUACGUAGGUGGCAAGCGUUAUCCGGAAUUAUUGGGCGUAAAGCGCGCGUAGGCGGUUUUUUAAGUCUGAUGUGAAAGCCCACGGCUCAACCGUGGAGGGUCAUUGGAAACUGGAAAACUUGAGUGCAGAAGAGGAAAGUGGAAUUCCAUGUGUAGCGGUGAAAUGCGCAGAGAUAUGGAGGAACACCAGUGGCGAAGGCGACUUUCUGGCCUGUAACUGACGCUGAUGUGCGAAAGCGUGGGGAUCAAACAGGAUUAGAUACCCUGGUAGUCCACGCCGUAAACGAUGAGUGCUAAGUGUUAGGGGGUUUCCGCCCCUUAGUGCUGCAGCUAACGCAUUAAGCACUCCGCCUGGGGAGUACGACCGCAAGGUUGAAACUCAAAGGAAUUGACGGGGACCCGCACAAGCGGUGGAGCAUGUGGUUUAAUUCGAGGCAACGCGAAGAACCUUACCAAAUCUUGACAUCCUUUGACAACUCUAGAGAUAGAGCUUUCCCCUUCGGGGGACAAAGUGACAGGUGGUGCAUGGUUGUCGUCAGCUCGUGUCGUGAGAUGUUGGGUUAAGUCCCGCAACGAGCGCAACCCUUAAGCUUAGUUGCCAUCAUUAAGUUGGGCACUCUAAGUUGACUGCCGGUGACAAACCGGAGGAAGGUGGGGAUGACGUCAAAUCAUCAUGCCCCUUAUGAUUUGGGCUACACACGUGCUACAAUGGACAAUACAAAGGGUAGCGAAACCGCGAGGUCAAGCAAAUCCCAUAAAGUUGUUCUCAGUCCGGAUUGUAGUCUGCAACUCGACUACAUGAAGCUGGAAUCGCUAGUAAUCGUAGAUCAGCAUGCUACGGUGAAUACGUUCCCGGGUCU